Molecule: ribosomal RNA, 486 nt
Filed under: uncultured bacterium
Lineage: Bacteria
Description: partial 16S ribosomal RNA
Rfam family: Bacterial small subunit ribosomal RNA
Source: RNAcentral
AUUGAACGCUGGCGACAUGCCUUACACAUGCAAGUCGAACGGCAGCACGGGUGCUUGCACCUGGUGGCGAGUGGCGAACGGGUGAGUAAUACAUCGGAACAUGUCCUGUAGUGGGGGAUAGCCCGGCGAAAGCCGGAUUAAUACCGCAUACGAUCUACGGAUGAAAGCGGGGGACCUUCGGGCCUCGCGCUAUAGGGUUGGCCGAUGGCUGAUUAGCUAGUUGGUGGGGUAAAGGCCUACCAAGGCGACGAUCAGUAGCUGGUCUGAGAGGACAACCAGCCACACUGGGACUGAGACACGGCCCAGACUCCUACGGGAGGCAGCAGUGGGGAAUUUUGGACAAUGGGCGAAAGCCUGAUCCAGCAAUGCCGCGUGUGUGAAGAAGGCCUUCGGGUUGUAAAGCACUUUUGUCCGGAAAGAAAUCCUUGGCCCUAAUACGGUCGGGGGAUGACGGUACCGGAAGAAUAAGCACCGGCUAACUACGUG